AAAUUUGUUGCCGAUUAUGGUUUUUAUUUAUGCUUCUGUAUAAAUAAAUUAAAAGGGAAUUCGGUUAGAAACCGAAGCUGUACCCGCAACUGUAAGCUUUGUCGAAUUUUUUCGAUGGUUGUUAUUAAACUUUAUAACCACUGUUCAGUUUUUUUGAAUGGGAAGGUGAAUAACAAUACGCAAGCCAGGAGACCUGCCAAAAUCAUUUUAAUUAA
This 215-nucleotide non-coding RNA is filed under the name Lutibacter profundi. Lineage: Bacteria; Pseudomonadati; Bacteroidota; Flavobacteriia; Flavobacteriales; Flavobacteriaceae. The record is from RNAcentral.